Molecule: long non-coding RNA, 2747 nt
Filed under: Zostera marina
Lineage: Eukaryota; Viridiplantae; Streptophyta; Magnoliopsida; Alismatales; Zosteraceae
Description: long non-coding RNA (ZMAR_LNC000071)
Source: RNAcentral
UUCUUUUAAAAGUUUUUUGAUUUUAUCUCUUUGUUUGAAAAAAAGUAGAAUUGAGAUGUAUUUAAAAAAAUUAAUGAUUGCGAUUCCCAAUCCAAGUGUUGAGAUUCCAAAUCCGACCGUUUCUUGCCAGGCAGCGAGGGCAGUCACGAUCUCCCCGAAGUCGGCUCCCACGUUAUUGUAGACCGUGGCGUUGAAGAUCCUUGUGGGAACAGCAGCUCCGGCAGCGGUGAGUUCAUCCGCAAUUAAAUUUGCUCGCCGAAGGUAUGUUGCUACAUUCUCGCCCGCCAUGUGUUUGUUGUUUUGCAAUUACAUUUGUAGUUGAAUGAUCCUUGAUUCAGAUGGCCGGCCAUAUGUGGAGGCCAACGUUGCCCAAAUAUCCGCUGCGGAUUCAAGUCCGAUGAUUGUGGGAAGCACUUCCUCGGUUAUCGAUGAAAAAAUCCAACUAACAAGGAGUUGGUCCUUCUCCCACCAUGCUGUGUAGAUUGGGCAUGACCAAUCCGGAAUUGGAGAUGGCAUUGUUCUAUCGAUAAAUGUUGUUAACCCAAAGCAAUUCAAUAGAGGAGUGAAUUGCAUUUUCCAAAGCAAGUAGUUGGUGCUUGUUAGCUUAAUGUGGAGGAAGCUUUGAAUCGAUCCAAAAGAGGGGGAUCCGGCCAGAAUUUUAUUUGGCAUUUGUGCCACAACUUGUGAGUUGGCUCCGACAGAUGGAUCAUCAAUAGUUGUGGCAUUGCUAGAGGGUAGCGAAAGCAUAUCCGAUAAUGACGGAUGUUGUGGCAUUGCCAUAAAUUGAGCGCCAAGCUCUUGAUUUACCUCAGGAUUUCCGGCGAUUGAUACCAUGUUGGAGGGAUGAACGGAGGUGACAUCCGACAGAUUGGAUUCACCAUCCAUUGCCGACGAGAUCGAGAUGAUCUUACGAGCCAUUGCUAGAAGAUGUUGAGCACAAGUACGGUAGAGAAGGAGAUGUAUAGUGAUUUUAGCAAUAGAAAAACUUGUAUUGAUUGCUAUGUAUAGAUGGGUAUUUAUACACAAGAAUUAACAAUAACAACCCACUACCAUUUGAGUGUGAGUUGUUAUUUGUUAUAAGGAAUAUAAAUUAAUUAUCUAUAAAUCUAUAUUCCAAUAAUGAAUUUAUCCUUGAUGACCAUAUAAGUAUCAUUCAGCCUUUUUAAAAUAUUGUAAAUUAUAAAUUAAUAAUUAUAUCAAAACAUAGGGGUUAUCAUAAUAUCACUCUUGCUUAAAAAAAUUAAAUAAAUACCCUCCAUACCAAUGGUAUAUGAUAUGAUACCAUAUCCUUUGCCCCAGAUCAUUUUUAUCACCUCGGGAGGUUAGUGGUUUAAUUAUCAUCUCUUUAUACUUGUUUUCUUGCUUUUGUUUGAUUCUUUUAAAAGUUUUUUGAUUUUAUCUCUUUGUUUGAAAAAAAGUAGAAUUGAGAUGUAUUUAAAAAAAUUAAUGAUUGCGAUUCCCAAUCCAAGUGUUGAGAUUCCAAAUCCGACCGUUUCUUGCCAGGCAGCGAGGGCAGUCACGAUCUCCCCGAAGUCGGCUCCCACGUUAUUGUAGACCGUGGCGUUGAAGAUCCUUGUGGGAACAGCAGCUCCGGCAGCGGUGAGUUCAUCCGCAAUUAAAUUUGCUCGCCGAAGGUAUGUAGCUACAUUCUCGCCCACCAUGUGUUUGUUGUUUUGCAAUUACAUUUGUAGUUGAAUAAUCCUUGAUUCAGAUGGCCGGCCAUAUGUGGAGGCCAACGUUGCCCAAAUAUCCGCUGCGGAUUCAAGUCCGAUGAUUGUGGGCAGCACUUCCUCGGUUAUCGAUGAAAAAAUCCAACAAUCAAGGAGUUGGUCCUUCCGCCACCAUGCCAUGUAGAUUGGGCAUGACAAAUCCGGAAUUUGAGAUGGCACUGUUCUAUCGAUAAAUGUUGUUAACGCAAAGCAAUUCAAUAGAGGAGUGAAUUGCAUUUUCCAAAGCAAGUAGUUGGUGCUUGUUAGCUUAAUGUGGAGGAAGCUUUGAAUCGAUCCAAAAGAGGGGGAUCCGGCCAGAAUUUUAUUUGGCAUUUGUGCCACAACUUGAGAGUUGGCUCCGACAGAUGGAUCACCAAUAGUUGUGGCAUUGCUAGAGGGUAGCGAAAGCAUAUCCGAUAAUGACGGAUGUUGUGGCAUUGCCAUAAAUUGAGAGCCAAGCGCUUGAUUUACCUCAGGAUUUCCGGCGAUUGAUACCAUGUUGGAGGGAUGAACGGUGGUGACAUCCGACAGAUUGGAUUCACCAUCCAUUGCCGACGAGAUCGAGAUGAUCUUCGGAGCCAUUGCAAGAAGAUGUUGAGCACAAGUACGGUUGAGAAGGAGAUGUAGAGUGAUUUUAGCAAUGGAAAAACUUGUAUUGAUUGCUAUGAAUAGAUGGGUAUUUAUACACAAGAAUUAACAAUAACAACCCACUACCAUUUGAGUGUGAGUUGUUAUUUGUUAUAAGGAAUAUAAAUUAAUUAUCUAUAAAUCUAUAUUCCAAUAAUGAAUUUAUCCUUGAUGACCAUAUAAGUAUCAUUCAGCCUUUUUAAAAUAUUGUAAAUUAUAAAUUAAUAAUUAUAUCAAAACAUAGGGGUUAUCAUAAUAUCACUCUUGCUUAAAAAAAUUAAAUAAAUACCCUCCAUACCAAUGGUAUAUGAUAUGUUACCAUAUCCUUUGUCCCAGAUCAUUUUUAUCACCUCGAGAGGUUAGUGGUUUAAUUAUCAUCUCUUUAUACUUGUUUUCUUGCUUUUGUUUGAU